UAAGGAAUAAAACGGAACCUGCACAUAGUUGAAACUUUGUUUGGUUUUGAGGGGUUUACCCUCAGAGCUUGUACUUUGAAAACUAAAUAAUAUCUAAUUUCUUUUUAUUGAAAACAAUAAACCGAGAACACCGCGUUAUUUGAGUUUAAUUAACGAAAUAAUCGCUAACUCAAUUAAUCAGGGUGAUCACGAAGUGAUCAUCAAGGU
RNAcentral lists this unclassified non-coding RNA (207 nucleotides) under Limosilactobacillus oris. RNAcentral's name for it is "Lactobacillus oris miscellaneous RNA". Lineage: Bacteria; Bacillati; Bacillota; Bacilli; Lactobacillales; Lactobacillaceae. The record is from RNAcentral.